CAAUAGCGUAUAUUAAAGUUGUUGCGGUAAAAAAGCUCGUAGUUGGAUUUCUACCGAAGAUAGCCGGUCGGGUCUUCGACCUUGUAUCUGGUUUUGUCUUUGGUAUCCUCAUAGGGAACGUUUCUGCGCUUUAUUGCGUGGUGCGGUAUCUAUGACUUUUACUUUGAGGAAAUUAGAGUGUUCACGGCAGGCAAACGCCUUGAAUAUAUUAGCAUGGAAUAAUAACAUAGGAUCUUCGUCCUAUCUUGUUGGUUUCUAGGGCUAAGAUAAUGAUUAAUAGGGAUAAUUGGGGGCAUCUGUAUCAACGCGUCAGAGGUGGAAUUCUUGGAUUGCGUUGCGACAAACUACUGCGAAAGCAUUUGCCAAGGAUGUUUUCAUUGA
Molecule: ribosomal RNA, 381 nt
Filed under: uncultured eukaryote
Lineage: Eukaryota
Description: partial 18S ribosomal RNA
Rfam family: Eukaryotic small subunit ribosomal RNA
Source: RNAcentral